AUACGUAGGGUGCGAGCGUUAAUCGGAAUUACUGGGCGUAAAGCGUGCGCAGGCGGUUUUGUAAGACAGUGGUGAAAUCCCCGGGCUCAACCUGGGAACUGCCAUUGUGACUGCAAGGCUGGAGUGCGGCAGAGGGGGGUGGAAUUCCGCGUGUAGCAGUGAAAUGCGUAGAUAUGCGGAGGAACACCGAUGGCGAAGGCAAUCCCCUGGGCCUGCACUGACGCUCAUGCACGAAAGCGUGGGGAGCAAACAGGAUUAGAUACCCUGGUAGUCCACGCCCUAAACGAUGUCAACUGGUUGUUGGGAAUUUAUUUUCUCAGUAACGAAGCUAACGCGUGAAGUUGACCGCCUGGGGAGUACGGCCGCAAGGUUAAAACUCAAAUGAAUUGACGGGG
Molecule: ribosomal RNA, 395 nt
Filed under: uncultured bacterium
Lineage: Bacteria
Description: partial 16S ribosomal RNA
Rfam family: Bacterial small subunit ribosomal RNA
Source: RNAcentral